RNAcentral lists this ribosomal RNA (1262 nucleotides) under Halorubrum sp. RNAcentral describes it as "bacterial SSU rRNA". It matches the Rfam family "Archaeal small subunit ribosomal RNA", at positions 101 to 1360 of the family's 1478-position model. The record is from RNAcentral. Lineage: Archaea; Methanobacteriati; Methanobacteriota; Halobacteria; Halobacteriales; Haloferacaceae.
UGGCCAAACUACCCUUCGGAACACAAUACCCUCGGGAAACUGAGGCUAAUAGUGUAUACCACACUCACUCUGGAAUGACAAGUGUGCCAAACGCUCCGGCGCCGAAGGAUGUGGCUGCGGCCGAUUAGGUAGACGGUGGGGUAACGGCCCACCGUGCCGAUAAUCGGUACGGGUGGUGAGAGCCAGAACCCGGAGACGGAAUCUGAGACAAGAUUCCGGGCCCUACGGGGCGCAGCAGGCGCGAAACCUUUACACUGCACGACAGUGCGAUAAGGGGAUCCCAAGUGCGCAGGCAUAGAGCCUGCGCUUUUGUACACCCUAGGGAGGUGCACGAAUAAGGGCUGGGCAAGACCGGUGCCAGCCGCCGCGGUAAUACCGGCAGCCCAAGUGAUGGCCGAUCUUAUUGGGCCUAAAGCGUCCGUAGCUGGCCGCGCAAGUCCAUCGGGAAAUCCACCUGCUCAACAGGUGGACGUCCGGUGGAAACUGCACGGCUUGGGACCGGAAGGCGCGACGGGUACGUCCGGGGUAGGAGUGAAAUCCCGUAAUCCUGGACGGACCGCCGAUGGCGAAAGCACGUCGCGAAAACGGAUCCGACAGUGAGGGACGAAAGCUAGGGUCUCGAACCGGAUUAGAUACCCGGGUAGUCCUAGCCGUAAACAAUGCCUGCUAGGUGUGGCUCCCACUACGAGUGGGUGCUGUGCCGUAGGGAAGCCGCUAAGCAGGCCGCCUGGGAAGUACGUCCGCAAGGAUGAAACUUAAAGGAAUUGGCGGGGGAGCACUACAACCGGAGGAGCCUGCGGUUUAAUUGGACUCAACGCCGGACAUCUCACCAGCAUCGACUGUGGUAAUGACGGUCAGGUUGAUGACCUCGCCACGAGCCACAGAGAGGAGGUGCAUGGCCGCCGUCAGCUCGUACCGUGAGGCGUCCUGUUAAGUCAGGCAACGAGCGAGACCCGCAUCCGUACUUGCCAGCAGCACUGCGAAGUGGCUGGGGACAGUACGGAGACUGCCGUGGCCAACACGGAGGAAGGAACGGGCAACGGUAGGUCAGUAUGCCCCGAAUGUGCUGGGCAACACGCGGGCUACAAUGGUCAGGACAAAGGGUUCCUACUCCGAAAGGAGACGGUAAUCUCAGAAACUCGAUCGUAGUUCGGAUUGUGGGCUGCAACUCGCCCACAUGAAGCUGGAUUCGGUAGUAAUCGCGUGUCACAAGCGCGCGGUGAAUACGUCCCUGCUCCUUGCACACACCGCCCGUCAAAGCA